GAUGAAGAACGUAGCGAAAUGCGAUACGUAAUGUGAAUUGCAGAAUUCAGUGAAUCAUCGAGUCUUUGAACGCACAUUGCGCCCCCUGGUAUUCCUGGGGGCAUGCCUGUCCGAGCGUCAUUGCUGCCCUCAAGCACGGCUUGUGUGUUGGGCCUCCGUCCUCCUCCCGGGGGACGGGCCCGAAAGGCAGCGGCGGCACCGCGUCCGGUCCUCGAGCGUAUGGGGCUUCGUCACCCGCUCUUGUAGGCCCGGCCGGCGCUUGCCGACACAUCAAUCUUUUUUCCAGGUUGACCUCGGAUCAGGUAGGGAUACCCGCUGAACUUAAGCAUAUCAAUAAGCGGAGGA
This 345-nucleotide unclassified non-coding RNA is filed under the name soil metagenome. RNAcentral's name for it is "partial contains 5.8S ribosomal RNA, internal transcribed spacer 2, and large subunit ribosomal RNA". The stretch from base 1 to 120 matches the Rfam family "5.8S ribosomal RNA", at positions 35 to 154 of the family's 154-position model. The record is from RNAcentral.